CUACGGGCCGCUGCAGUGGGGAAUAUUGCGCAAUGGGCGAAAGCCUGACGCAGCCAUGCCGCAUGAAUGAGGAAGGCCUUCGGGUUGUAAAAUUCUGUCACUAGUGAAAAAUAGCUAGAUUUCAAAUAGGCUUCUAGUCUGAUGGUAACUAGAGAGGAAGCACCGGCUAACUUCGUGCCAGCAGCCGCGGUAAUACGAAGGGUGCAAGCGUUGUUCGGAUUUAUUGGGCGUAAAGCGCGCGCAGGCGGAUUUGUAAGCCAGAUGUGAAAUCUCGGGGCUCAACCCCGAAACUGCGUCUGGAACUGCUAAUCUAGAAUAUCGGAGAGGGAAGUGGAAUUUCGCAUGUAGGGGUAAAAUCCGUAGAGAUGCGAAGGAACACCGGAGGCGAAGGCGACUUCCUGGACGAUUAUUGACGCUGAGGCGCGAAAGCGUGGGGAGCAAACAGGAUUAGAUACCCUGGUAGUC
This 465-nucleotide ribosomal RNA is filed under the name uncultured bacterium. Its description in RNAcentral is "partial 16S ribosomal RNA". It matches the Rfam family "Bacterial small subunit ribosomal RNA", at positions 339 to 795 of the family's 1533-position model. The record is from RNAcentral.